Molecule: long non-coding RNA, 603 nt
Organism: Carlito syrichta (Philippine tarsier)
Lineage: Eukaryota; Metazoa; Chordata; Mammalia; Primates; Tarsiidae
Exons: 3
Source: RefSeq, a predicted model, not a curated record
AGAGGUUUGAAUGGUGGCACAGAGGAAACAGAAUACACUGGAUUCCUGACAUGAGGGGGCAAACAACUCAAAAAUUACUGCCCUACAUUUUUCAUAUCGCUACGUUUCUUCACGACUGAAAAUAUGAGAACACACGGGUGAAAUCCCUUGCAAAAUGCCCCAUAACUAAGCUUUGCUAUGGAAAUCCAUCUCUGAGAACGAGGAACUCUUUAUCACCUGAGAUAGUAAGAGAGGCAUAUCCAAACUGUAUGAUAAGUAUCCUGUCUGGAUGUGACUCCAUUCAUGAAAGAACUUCUGUCUCAGCCUACUGGAUGGAUUCACCACGAGUAGGAUGUAUUUCGAAUAAAGGUCUGUGGGAAGUGGCCUCCCAGUUGAAGUAUCAGUUUCCUUUCGGACACGCAUUUUGGACUCCUCUUCUGCCAGAAAGUGGCCUGGAAAUAAGCUGCUAUCCCAAAAACAAACGGCUGUAAUGACGUGAAUGGCCGCGGAUCCUCUGGAAUUGAAACAUUCUCCCAAACACUGUUCCUGGUUGACUUGUGGAUGUACUCGGAAGAAAGGUCUGUGGGAAGAGGCCUCCCAGUGGAAAUUUCCGUUUCCAUUUGG